This 253-nucleotide ribosomal RNA is filed under the name uncultured bacterium. RNAcentral's name for it is "partial 16S ribosomal RNA". It matches the Rfam family "Bacterial small subunit ribosomal RNA", at positions 524 to 776 of the family's 1533-position model. The record is from RNAcentral.
UACGUAGGGGGCGAGCGUUGUCCGGAAUUAUUGGGCGUAAAGAGCGUGUAGGCUGUUCGGUAAGUCUGCCGUGAAAACCUGAGGCUCAACCUCGGGCGUGCGGUGGAUACUGCCGGGCUAGAGGACGGUAGAGGCGAGUGGAAUUCCCGGUGUAGCGGUGAAAUGUGUAGAGAUCGGGAGGAACACCGGUGGCGAAGGCGGUCUUCUGGACGGUGACUGACGCUGAGGCGCGAAAGCGUGGGGAGCAAACGGG